GUUGACUUGUGAACCGACCGGUGAACCGCGAGCAACUUUCGAGUGGAACUAACCGCUGAUUCUUCAGUGACAAACUUAGCUUGGGCUACAAAAAAAGUGACUCUGUGACUUUUUAAAAAGUUGUCAGGACGUAAAUGAUAGGAAGACAUUUUAGACGAUAAGUGGCCAGACCUGUCAAACACCUGUAUACAGGUGGAGGUUAGCAAACCGGAGCGUCCAUUACAGCUCACAGCACGAUGAGCGGCAUCAAAGUGUCAGUUGGAGAAAGAGAGUCACCAAGAGCAGAAGAGGAUAAGAGAGGCUCCCCAUCUGGAUGGAAGACAGUCCUCUGUGUGCCUGAUUAAUGGUGUGGAGAGACAGUUGCCAGUUCUGAAGCCUUGCUGUCUGGCCCAGGUCAAAACUUCCAGAAGGCAACCUAAUGCAGUCUGCUUUGGUUUCCAUCUUCUUCUAAACUGUUUAUUGCAGUCGUGUAAGAAGCAUAAAGAUUCUCGGGAAUAAUGAACUCACUAUUAAGCAACUUUUUGUGCUGUUGAGAAAUGUAUUUGUGUGCAUAUUUUUCUGUCCACUAAGCUCUACACAACGAUUCAAGACAAGUGAAGAAUGACAAAGAGUUUCUCGAGCCAAAAUUAAUGCAUUGACUUGACCUCGAGGGGUCAAGGUGUUGAGGGGUAAAAAGAACAUUACUGCUGCUCAUGCACCACCUUUUUUUCUUUUCUCCUGUUUAACUUUUAACAUGAGUUGGGCUGCACAAUUAAUCCAAUAUUAAUGUCACGAUUUUUGGCUUUUCCCACUUAAAUGAG
Amphiprion ocellaris (clown anemonefish) is the source of this 800-nucleotide long non-coding RNA. Lineage: Eukaryota; Metazoa; Chordata; Actinopteri; Pomacentridae. The record is from Ensembl.